RNAcentral lists this ribosomal RNA (482 nucleotides) under Kocuria sp. Its description in RNAcentral is "bacterial SSU rRNA". It matches the Rfam family "Bacterial small subunit ribosomal RNA", at positions 380 to 871 of the family's 1533-position model. Lineage: Bacteria; Bacillati; Actinomycetota; Actinomycetes; Micrococcales; Micrococcaceae. The record is from RNAcentral.
AGCCUGAUGCAGCGACGCCGCGUGAGGGAUGACGGCCUUCGGGUUGUAAACCUCUUUCAGCAGGGAAGAAGCCACAAGUGACGGUACCUGCAGAAGAAGCGCCGGCUAACUACGUGCCAGCAGCCGCGGUAAUACGUAGGGCGCAAGCGUUGUCCGGAAUUAUUGGGCGUAAAGAGCUCGUAGGCGGUUUGUCGCGUCUGCUGUGAAAGCCCGGGGCUCAACCCCGGGUCUGCAGUGGGUACGGGCAGACUAGAGUGCAGUAGGGGAGACUGGAAUUCCUGGUGUAGCGGUGAAAUGCGCAGAUAUCAGGAGGAACACCGAUGGCGAAGGCAGGUCUCUGGGCUGUUACUGACGCUGAGGAGCGAAAGCAUGGGGAGCGAACAGGAUUAGAUACCCUGGUAGUCCAUGCCGUAAACGUUGGGCACUAGGUGUGGGGGACAUUCCACGUUCUCCGCGCCGUAGCUAACGCAUUAAGUGCCCCG